Peromyscus eremicus (cactus mouse) is the source of this 948-nucleotide long non-coding RNA. RefSeq lists it as uncharacterized. The record is from RefSeq and is a predicted model, not a curated record. NCBI's taxonomy places the organism in Eukaryota, Metazoa, Chordata, Mammalia, Rodentia, Cricetidae. The transcript is spliced from 3 exons.
GAUAAACUAGGACAAGUGUUCCUUAAAAUUCUGGAUGUUGCACAAACUAUGUUCUUGCAGCAGCAAUUCAGGGUGAACUAAGCCCUAUGCCUGUCAGAAGUUUCAUUUUUAUCUCUUCUCCUCCUCUCAAAAACAUCCCCAGGAGCAUCAUAUCAUCUACAUUUAAAGGAGCAGCUGAUGAGACACAGAGAAACUCCAUCUACAGUAAAUAGUAAAGGCUGCUGGGAGUCUCUCUUAGAGGAGCUAGGCUGCAAAGAAGACUCUGAGACCAGACCUGCUGUUUGGAUGAAGCAGAGACCUGCUGACUAUAAGAGGUUUAGAUCAAAUGAGUCACUGAGAAAGUACACUCUCCAACCCAUUGAGUCACCUGUAGGCUGUGCAGCAUGCCAAGUCUCCCAGCUUGUAGUCUGUCACCCAGUUGGGGUGGGCUUCUGUGACACAGUUGUCAUUGAGUUAUUCUGUUCCUGUAAGUAACUCCUCACCUGUAUUCCUGUAAGUAACCCCUCACCCACAUUCCCCACUAACACCAGAAAACUCAUUGGUUCACCAAGUUGGGCUUUGGUGGUAUCCAUACUUCUAUCUGUUAUGAGCUUCCUAUCUGGGGUGAAUAUACUUGUGUGGUGAAUCUCCUCAGGAAAAGUCUUGUCACACCACAGAUGUCUAUGUUGAAAUAUAAUGAAAUAUGAAGUCUUUUGCUUUUCUAAAGUAUGGUCUGUGAAGUAAUUUUUUCCAUUUUAUUUUUAGAUAAAUGGUACAUUGUACAUGUUCUUCCAUGGGGUAAGACUAUUUCUGAACUUGAGAAUUGUUAAAAUCUCCCCUAUUUAUGUUACUUUGCAAGGAGCAUUUAUGUCCAGUACUUAUUGUCCAGGAAAAAGAGUGGAAAGGUGACUACAGAGUCAACUCUGGAAUCAGAUUCAGUGUAUCUCAAAAUCUCUCUCUACCGGUUAC